Molecule: ribosomal RNA, 399 nt
Filed under: uncultured bacterium
Lineage: Bacteria
Description: partial 16S ribosomal RNA
Rfam family: Bacterial small subunit ribosomal RNA
Source: RNAcentral
AAUAUUGCGCAAUGGGGGAAACCCUGACGCAGCAACGCCGCGUUAAUGAUGAAGGCCUUUGGGUUGUAAAGUUCUGUCUUCUGGGACGAUAAUGACGGUACCAGAGGAGGAAGUCACGGCUAACUACGUGCCAGCAGCCGCGGUAAUACGUAGGUGGCAAGCGUUGUCCGGAUUUACUGGGCGUAAAGGAUGCGUAGGCGGAUAUUUAAGUCAGAUGUGAAAUACCCGGGCUCAACUUGGGUGCUGCAUUUGAAACUGGAUAUCUAGAGUGCGGGAGAGGUAAGUGGAAUUCCUAGUGUAGCGGUGAAAUGCGUAGAGAUUAGGAAGAACACCAGUGGCGAAGGCGACUUACUGGACCGUAACUGACGCUGAGGCAUGAAAGCGUGGGGAGCAAACAGG